This 301-nucleotide ribosomal RNA is filed under the name uncultured bacterium. Its description in RNAcentral is "partial 16S ribosomal RNA". It matches the Rfam family "Bacterial small subunit ribosomal RNA", at positions 509 to 809 of the family's 1533-position model. The record is from RNAcentral.
CAGUAGCCGCGGGAAAACGUAGGUGGCAAGCGUUGUCCGGAAUUAUUGGGCGUAAAGCGCGCGCAGGCGGAUAGGUCAGUCUGUCUUAAAAGUUCGGGGCUUAACCCCGUGAUGGGAUGGAAACUGCCAAUCUAGAGUAUCGGAGAGGAAAGUGGAAUUCCUAGUGUAGCGGUGAAAUGCGUAGAUAUUAGGAAGAACACCAGUGGCGAAGGCGACUUUCUGGACGAAAACUGACGCUGAGGCGCGAAAGCCAGGGGAGCGAACGGGAUUAGAUACCCCCGUAGUCCCUGUCUCUUAUACA